This is a long non-coding RNA of Symphalangus syndactylus (siamang), 6676 nucleotides long. RefSeq lists it as uncharacterized. The record is from RefSeq and is a predicted model, not a curated record. Lineage: Eukaryota; Metazoa; Chordata; Mammalia; Primates; Hylobatidae.
UAAACAUCUACCAUUAAAUAAUUUUGCUACUAAAAUACCAAUAGUGUUCGAGAAAAAGUCCAAAUUUAAGCAACACAUUCAAGGUAAAAAAUAAUAGCCAAUAUUACAAAGAAUGUUUAGUAAGCUCUUAACAUAAAUAUUCCAUUCAAGUGGUUUUUAUUCUAAAUAGACUCUCUUUAAGCAUUUGGUAGAAAAUUAGUGGAAAGGCAUAAAAAUAUUUGGUUAUAUAAUAUUAAAUAAGAUUAUAAAUACAUAGUCUGAAAUCUCCCAGAUACCUGUAAGAGUUGAUUCCUCAUUUGCCUAUCAUUAAAAGAGAUAAUAUACUAUGUCUUCCUCAUUUCUGUACUUCAGGCACGGUACUAUCUAAAUUGAUGGGUCAAGUGUUACAAAACACAGAAAAGACUGAAAGAUACUGCACCCAGAUUUAUGCAGACCUUCCUGAUAUGCAAAUUAAUCUCUUAUAGGUAAACCAAAUAAUCUGGAUGCUAACUUCUUCAGCACUCUACGGAUAUCAGUUAGUUUACUGGAAGAAUAAUAUGCUAAAAUGUACUUCCAGAGUAUGAAAGAAAGUCUAACUUACUGCUACAGUGUAAUUUAUGUUCCGAGAGAAUAUAGCAAAUGAAAUAAUUUUUCUUAUUAAAAUCUUUUUGAAAAUUCCACUCUCCAGUAACGAAAACAUUGUUUUAAUGCAGAUAAAUAUAAAUGUUAAGAACAUCUGGCAAAAUAGAUUUAUAUUUUUCAGUCCAGUUUUUUGUAUGUGUAUAUGAAAUCAUAGAGUAUAAGCACUUCUUCAAUUUCUCCUACAGAAGGUUCCUUAGGCCCUGAGUGAAUCACUUUAAGUGGCAAUGUUCACAGCUUAUGAGAUAACCUAUUGGAGGUGAUCCUGGACUGGUGAUCAUAUCCUUAAUUUUUGUACAAUCUGCAUUUUGUUUUGCAGAUUCUAUUUUUAACUCAUCUACAUAUCUAACUAAGCUAUUUGCAUAAUUCACAGUGCAUAUGACUGAAGCACAGACUUAGGAGAAAGAGUUGCUCUAUGGUUCUUUAGAUUUGAUAAAGUUAGGAAAAAGUUCCUUCCAAACCAUAAAGAAGUUGUGCAAUAAUUUAUUUAGAAGUUUGUUAAAUUUGUUUGGGGGGAGGGAGAAUUAUUUUGUUGAGAAAGACAUGAGAUGUCCUGAUUCGAUAUCUAAGUUCUAGCUCCAGUCUUGGGAGGGGUAGAGGUGCCUGCACACCAAGCUGCUCCAGGUAUUAAGGUUUCUCCUUGACUUUUUGAGAAAAGACAUAUUGCAGGAAUUAAACUUAUCCUUGCUAGAACAGCUAUUUAAAACCACUGUUUGACUUUUCUUUUUCUUUUCUUUCUUUUUUUUUUGACAGAAUCUCACUCUGUAACCCAGGCUGGAGUGCAGUGGUGACAAUAUCGCUCACUGCAGCCUCAACCUUCUGGGCUCAAGUGAUCCUUCCACCUCAGCCUACUGAAUAGCUGGGACCACAGGUGUGCAGCACGAUGCCUGGCUAAGUUUUUCAUUUUUUUAGAGACAAGAUCUCACCAUGUUGCUCAGGCUGGUCUCAAACCCCUGGGCUCAAGCUAACCUCCUCCCUCAGCCAAUCAAAGAACUGGGAUUAUAUGCGUGAGCCCCCACACCUGGCCUUGUUUGCUUUUCUACAUAGGACUUUAAAAAUCCAAUUUAAGGAACACAAUAUAUGAAAGUAGAGCCAGGCACAGUGACAUGUGCCUCUAGUCACUCUCAACUACUUGGGAGGCUGAGGUGGGAGGAUCCCUUGAACCCAGGAGUUUGUGUCAGGCCUGGGCAAUAUAAUGAGACAUUGUCUUUAAAAAAAAAAAAGGACGUACAAUACUGCCUAUAUCUUACUGAACUGAAAAGUACAGUUACAAUAUUCUUCCUUAUUUUGUGCUGUCACUUCCACCCAAUGAUCUUACUUGUGUCCUCUGGAAGAUCAUGUAUAAAUAUUAAUAUUCUCCUUGUUAUAAACGACAGGCUUCUUAGAGGAAACUAUUAUAUCCUGCUUCAUCCCCAUCUCUACCAUCCAAAUUAGACUCCUUAGUUGGGUACACUAGCCUCAGUUCUUUCAAGUCACAUGGCAUGGUUUCUAUAUCAUUUAUGAAUCUUGCCUAUCAUCCAAAGUAUUUUCUGUUCAGUUUGUCAACUGUAGAAAGAUUUUUAAUUCCAUUGUGUCAAAAAAUCUUUGGAUUAUUUUAAUACUUUUAAAUUUAUUGAGGCUUGUGUUAUGGCCUGACAUAUGGUUUAUCCUGGAGAAUGUUCCAUGUGCACUACAUGGGACUACAGCUCACUGCUGCUUCAAUCUCUAUGGGCUCAGGUGAUCCUUCCACCUAAGCCUCCUCAGUAUCUGGGACUACAGGAAUGCGCCAUUACAUCCAGCUAAUUUUUCUAUUUUUUUGUAGAGAUGGAGUUUUGCCACAUUGCCCAGGCUGGUCUCAAACUCCUGUGCUCAAGUGAUCCAUCCAUUCCAGCCUCCCAAAUAGCUAAAAUUACAGGCAUGAGCCACUGCACCUGUCUGUCUCUGAUUUUUUAUUGGACUGUUUAAUCCAUUUACAUUUAAUGCUAUUACUGAUAUGGUUGAAGGAAAUUUUGCUGUUCUUGGGAGUGUUCUGCAGAUGUGUAUUAGGUCUGGUUGGUUUAUAGUGUUGUUUGAGUCUUCUAUUUACAGAUGGGCCCUGACUUAUGAUGGUUUGACUUAUGAUUUUUUGACUUUACAGUGGUGCAAAAAUGAUACACAUAAAAUAUACUCCUCAAUUUAUGAUGGGUUUGUCAGGAUGCAACACCCUUGUAAAUUGAGGAGCAUAUGUCCUUGUUAAUCUUACAUCUAGUUAUUGUCUUCAUUAUUGAAAGUGGGGUAUUGAAGUUUCCAACUAUUAUUGGAUAAUUUAAUAUUUCUUCUUUCAAUUCUAUCAGCUUUUGCUUUAUGGACAUUGGGCUUUGUUGUUAGGUGCAAAGAUAUUUAUAAUUGUUAUAACUCCCCUAUAAGCUAAUCUUUUUUGAUUAUAAAGUGUUUCUCUUUGUAUGUAGUGACUUUAUUUAGUGUAAAAGUCUAUUUUAUCUGAUAUUAUUGUAGCCAACUCUAGGUCUUUUAUGGUUGCUGUUUGUGUGCAUAUCUUUUUUUAUCUUUUUAUUUUCAACCUAUCUAUAUCUUUGAACCUAAACUGGGUCAAAACACAUAGUUAACAGCAUCUGAUUGUUAUGUGGAGAGCAGAGAGUUGGAUCUUAUUUUUAUUUUAAUUCAGUCGACAGUCUCUGAUUUUUUUUUCUUUUUUUUUUUGGCAGUCUCACUCUGUUGCCCAGUCUGGAGCACAGUGGUACGGUCACAGCUCACUGCAGCUUCAAUCUCUGUGGGCUCAGGUGAUCCUUCCACCUAAGCCUCCUCAGUAUCUGGGACUACAGGAAUGCGCCAUUACAUUCAGCUAAUUUUUCUAUUUUUUGUAGAGAUGGAGUUUUGCCAUGUUGCCCAGGCUGGUCUCAAACUCCUGUGCUCAGGUGAUCCAUCCAUUCCAGCCUCCCAAAGAGCUAAAAUUACAGGCAUGAGCCACUGUGCCUGUCUGUCUCUGAUUUUUUAUUGGACUGUUUAAUCCAUUUACAUUUAAUGCUAUUACCGAUAUGGUUGGAUUUACAUCUGAUAUUUUGCUUUUUGUUUUCUGUAUCUUUCGUAUCUUUUUUGUUCACCUCUUCCUCCUUUACUGCCUUCUUUUGCCAUUCCUUCACUUAUUUUUAAACUACAUGUAUUUAGUUAUUUUAUUAGCAAUGGCUCUAGGGCUUACAAUAUAUUAGACUACAGAUUUAUUUUUCAAAAAUUUAGAUCCUAUUUGCUUACCCACAGGAUUUGAGGCGGACUUGACUUUUUCCCUUAAGUCUUAAUCGCAUUUUUGUUACCACUGUUGAUCAAGAAGGUGCCAAGCAAAAUUCUCUAAUAUUUUGCUCUCAUCUAUUCUUCUGACGUAUCUCACUGUCUCUGUAAUUCCUCAACAAUGAUUGGUCCUUCAAUCAAACCUCCAAAUUCUGUUAGUACCCUAAAGUCAUGAAUUCAUUUAAAGUGAUUAAUUACUUUCUUACUAUUUUCUUACUUAUCAUUGGUUUUGUAUUCCUUAUAUUCAUAUUCAUUAUACCCUUUAUAAAGUUACAUAAAGAUAAAUAUAUAGAGUUGUGUUUUUAAAAAUAUUUAAUAACUAAAGAUUUAAAUUUGAAAUUAUACAUUAUAAAGAAAUCAUUAAAUUUAUAAAAUGAAUUCAUUUUUAAAAGAUUUAUUGUAAGGAUCCUCUGAAGAAUAAAUUCACAGAUAUAUUUAAAUAUAAUUCAAAUAAUAAAAAUAUGCUAACUUUUCAGGAAUGUGUAUGUUGCACAUGACGAGAUACACCUUUAAAAGUAAAACUGCUGCUAUUUUGUACUCAUCUCAAAGUUAAAUAAUGCAGAGAACUGAAUGAAUUUUAGAAGGGAAAUCAUCUACUCCAAUGCCUUCAUCACAUAGGGCAGGAAACUAAGCUCAUUAAUAAAGAUUAUAUAUUCUAUUCAAAAAGGAACAAGCUCUAGAACCCAAGCUUUCUGGUUCCUAAUCGAGGGCUUCCUCACUCUACUGGGAAACUAAAGAAAGUUAUAUGAUAUAAAAACACUUAAGGGUAAAGUAUCUUUGGCAGUUUUACAUACUUCACAUAAAACAUACGACUAGGUCCUACCAAAAUAUCCUGAUGGACACUUUGGUAGCAUUGGAAACAGAUAUACUAAAGUGGAUUAUCACUUGGGCAGACACCUAAAAAACACUUUCAUAUGGAAUGUUAGGGUCUCUUAAAAGAAGAGUCUAUGAAUUCCCUGGCUCCAGGAAUAAAUUUAAAUAAACUCCCAUGUCAUUAGUUGUUGGUGAUAAAACUGCUUAUCAAAUCUCUCAAAAGUAUUCAAAGCAUUAGGCUACAAAGGAUUUCAUCAAGUUAUCUUUUGGCUUCCAAAAUCCCAGCAACCCCUCUUAGGCCCAUUUGUUUGUUUUGUGCAGGCUCUGGUGACUCAGAUUGUCUCCUGUUCCAUUCACUUAACAGCAUUCAUUCUACUCUUCAUGAGUCUUCUUUCCCCAAAAUUCUUUCCCUCUCCACCCAAAAUCUUAUAAUCACUUUUAGAGAAUUCAGUAUUCAUAUGGACAAUCUAUUCUGUUCCCUAAUCUUAACAUUCUUUGAUUUCUUUGUAUUUCAGCAGUCUAUGCCUAUGUCCAUAUUCAGCUUAGUAAACUAUUCUGCCUAUGUUUAAACUAUCUUAGUCACUUAUCUAUUUAGAAAUUUUACUACAUCUACUUUUCACCUUCAUCUAGGGUUGCCAGGUAAAGCAGGAUUCAGCAUCGUUGUCUCCCAUUCCUUUUAGUGACAGUUUAAACAUCUAAGUCCCUUCUUGAAGGUUACCUCAGUCCCAGUGCUUUAAGUGCCAAGAGAAAACUGAGGCCUAGUUGUAUAAUUCACCAACUUUAAAAACCACCAUCUACAAAUUUAUCUUCCGCAAUGCAACAGUUUCUUCCUGCUACAUUUUCAGAUCUCCUCCUGUUUAUCCUAAACCCAACAUCUCACCCUCCAUUGUUACAAAUACAUAUGUAAAAUAAAAUGCAAUAUUAAUAAUUGUGUAGAGUUUAUCUUCAAGGAAAAAAGCGAUCUCUCAUUGUAGCCUCAAGACAAUGAUACCAUUUCCUUCUAUUGAUCUUGGAGAUAGAGAGACCUCCAUGAUUUACUCCUUCAUUUUAACUUUAACCUCUCCUCUAUGGCUUCUUUCUCUAUGCCCUAAAUAUGUUCAAAUACCUUUAAAAUUUCUUCUUGAAUCACUUCAUAAUUACCAUACUAUCUCUUGAAUUUCCUUUAUUUCUACUUUUUUAAAAUUUUUUAUUUCCAUAGGUUUUUGGGGAACAGGUGGUAUUUGGUUACAUGAGUAAGUUCUUCAGUGUGAGAUUUUGGUGCACCCAUCUCUUGAGCAGUAUACAUUAAACCAAAUUCGUAGUCUUUUAUCCCUCAUUCCCUUCCGACCCUUUCCCCCUGAGUUCCCAAACUCCACUGUGUCAUUGUUAUGCCUUUGCAUCCUCAUAGCUUAGCUCCCACUUAUGAGUGAGAACAUACAAUGUUUGGUUUUCCAUUCCUGAGUUACUUCACUUAGAAUACUCUCCAAUCCUACUUUUCUUGAAAGUGUAUUGUCUACCUCACUUUCCACCUCCGACUUACUCUUCAAUCCUACUGUGAUCUGCUUCUGUCUCUACAAUUCCAUUGAUACAGCUGUGGAAAGACAAAGAACUUUUUAUGUUAUUUGAACUCUAUGUGGUAGCUGAACUGUUGUCCACUAACUUUUUAUUACAACUCUCUUGUGUUUGGCAUUUAAGAUAGUCAUAUCUGUUAGUUUUCCUCCUUACUUUUCUGAACAUUCCUUCUCAUUUAUUCCUAUUGGAUCAUAUUCCUCACAGAGGAAUAUAGUGAGAAGCUAUGUUCCCUAGCAUAAUUCCUUGUACUUUUUCUCAUUCUAUAUUGUCUCAGAUAACCAGUAGUACACAUACAAGAUGAUGGGCACCAAAAAUAAAUUAAGAGAUGAUGGUGGCUUGCAGGGAUGGAAGCUGUAAAGUUGGUGAGAGAUGGGCAGAUUCUGGAGGAUUUGCUGACAUUCUGGAUAUUGGGUACACAAGCAAGCGAAGAGUCAAA